Molecule: unclassified non-coding RNA, 251 nt
Filed under: Hevea brasiliensis (rubber tree)
Lineage: Eukaryota; Viridiplantae; Streptophyta; Magnoliopsida; Malpighiales; Euphorbiaceae
Source: RNAcentral
GAAGAAUAUAACAAGAUAUGAGGCUUUGUUAAGGUAUAUGGAUAGGCUGUGGGUGGAUUUGGUUGGUCUCAGGUGGUUCAAGGACCGGUUGAUGUUAUCUGAAAGACAAAGAAACUUCGGAAAGCUAAUGGGUGUGUUUCCUGUUGGCACUCCGAUGUUUAACUCAGUAAAAGUUAUGACAAGAGGUUAACAGCAAAGGAGAUAACAGGUAGAGAAGUAAGAGUUCAUAUGACAAGAGGUUAACAGCAAAG